CUGGUUUUUAAAAACAUCGCUUAAAGAUAAAAAUUUUAAGUAUUCUCUGCCCAAUGAUUAUUUUAAUGGCUGCAGUAUUUUGACUGUUCAAAGGUAGCAUAAUAAGUUGGCUUUUAAUUUAAGUCUAGAAUGAAAGAGGUAAUGAACUAUAUACUUUAUUUUUUUAAUAAGUUGAAAUUAAUUUUUAAGUAAUAAAGCUUAAAUUAUUUUAUAGGACGAGAAGACCCUAUAGAGUUUUAUAUAAAAUAGAUUAGUUAAUUUAAUUAUAAUAAUUUAUUAAUAUAUUUUUUUGGGGAGAAGGUGAAAAUUUUAAACUUUUAUUAUUUAUUAAACAAUUUUAAUUGAAUUUAUUUAUUUAUAUUAUUUUUAAAUUAAAAUAAUUUUAGGAGUGCCUUGAAGUUACUAUAUUAUUUUAAUGUGAAAUAAUUUAAAUUUAAAUGAUUGUAAUUUUAUUAAAUUUAAGAUUAAAUUACCUUAGGGAUAACAGCGUUAUAUUUUAUUAGAGAUUGUAUCGGAUAAUUUGUUUGCGACCUCGAUGUUGAA
This 543-nucleotide ribosomal RNA is filed under the name Formosiepyris sp. SNU-HY00005. Its description in RNAcentral is "partial 16S ribosomal RNA". The record is from RNAcentral. Lineage: Eukaryota; Metazoa; Arthropoda; Insecta; Hymenoptera; Bethylidae.